Molecule: long non-coding RNA, 209 nt
Filed under: Brassica napus (rape)
Lineage: Eukaryota; Viridiplantae; Streptophyta; Magnoliopsida; Brassicales; Brassicaceae
Description: long non-coding RNA (BNAP_LNC015169)
Source: RNAcentral
AUUUAAGCAUUUAUUGAUUCUAACAUUAACGGUUUAAUCGUCAACAUUGUAUUUAAUAUUUUCACAUUUUUGAACACUAUUCUUUUUGUUAACAACAUCGAACAUUAUUCUCCUAAGAUAUUUUUUCCUUCUCCGCAUAUUUUGACUUGAGCCAUCACCAUCUAUGUAUUUCGUUUACAUUUCCAGUGUGCGGUGUUUCUUGCCAUCAC